GGGCAUUUGGUCUAGUGGUAUGAUUCUCGCUUUGGGAGCGAGAGGUCCCGAGUUCCAUUCUCGGAAUGCCCC
This 72-nucleotide transfer RNA is filed under the name Spinacia oleracea (spinach). It matches the Rfam family "tRNA". From Rfam's summary of the family: Transfer RNA (tRNA) molecules are approximately 80 nucleotides in length. Their secondary structure includes four short double-helical elements and three loops (D, anti-codon, and T loops). Further hydrogen bonds mediate the characteristic L-shaped molecular structure. tRNAs have two regions of fundamental functional importance: the anti-codon, which is responsible for specific mRNA codon recognition, and the 3' end, to which the tRNAs corresponding amino acid is attached (by aminoacyl-tRNA synthetases). tRNAs cope with the degeneracy of the genetic code in two manners: having more than one tRNA (with a specific anti-codon) for a particular amino acid; and 'wobble' base-pairing, i.e. permitting non-standard base-pairing at the 3rd anti-codon position. Lineage: Eukaryota; Viridiplantae; Streptophyta; Magnoliopsida; Caryophyllales; Amaranthaceae. The record is from Rfam by way of RNAcentral.